GAGCAGGCCCAGCUGGGGUAAAAGAAUUGAUCUACACGAAGGUGGUUUUCCCAGGGCGAGGCUUAUCCAUUGCACUCCGGAUGUGCUGACCCCUGCGAUUUCCCCAAAUGCGGGAAACUCGACUGCAUAAUUUGUGGUAGUGGGGGACUGCGUUCGCGCUCUCCCCUA
Small nuclear RNA from Peromyscus californicus insignis, 168 nucleotides. RefSeq annotates it as U1 spliceosomal RNA. The transcript has a single exon. The record is from RefSeq and is a predicted model, not a curated record. Lineage: Eukaryota; Metazoa; Chordata; Mammalia; Rodentia; Cricetidae.